GUGCCAGCCGCCGCGGUAAGACGGGGGAGGCAAGCGUUGUCCGGAAUUAUUGGGCGUAAAGAGCGCGUAGGUGGUUUGUAAAGUCAUUUGUGAAAACUUUAGGCUUAACUUAAAGACUGCAAGUGAUACUGACAAACUUGAGUACAGUAGAGGAAAGUGGAAUUCCUGGUGUAGCGGUGAAAUGCGCAGAUAUCAGGAAGAACACCAGUGGCGAAGGCGGCUUUCUGGGCUGUUACUGACACUGAGGCGCGAAAGCUAGGGGAGCGAACAGGAUUAGAUACCCUGGUAGUCCUAGCUGUAAACGAUGGAUACUAGGUGUGGGAAGUUAUCGACGCUUUCCGUGCCGAAGCUAACGCAUUAAGUAUCCCGCCUGGGGAGUACGGCCGCAAGGCUAAAACUUAAAUGAAUUGACGGGG
RNAcentral lists this ribosomal RNA (416 nucleotides) under uncultured prokaryote. RNAcentral's name for it is "bacterial SSU rRNA". It matches the Rfam family "Bacterial small subunit ribosomal RNA", at positions 505 to 918 of the family's 1533-position model. The record is from RNAcentral.